This 254-nucleotide ribosomal RNA is filed under the name uncultured bacterium. RNAcentral's name for it is "partial 16S ribosomal RNA". It matches the Rfam family "Bacterial small subunit ribosomal RNA", at positions 524 to 776 of the family's 1533-position model. The record is from RNAcentral.
UACGUAGGGUGCGAGCGUUGUCCGGAAUUACUGGGCGUAAAGAGCUCGUAGGUGGUUUGUCGCGUUGUUCGUGAAAUCUCACGGCUUAACUGUGAGCGUGCGGGCGAUACGGGCAGACUAGAGUACUGCAGGGGAGACUGGAAUUCCUGGUGUAGCGGUGGAAUGCGCAGAUAUCAGGAGGAACACCGGUGGCGAAGGCGGGUCUCUGGGCAGUAACUGACGCUGAGGAGCGAAAGCAUGGGGGAGCGAACAGG